Amphimedon queenslandica is the source of this 371-nucleotide long non-coding RNA. RefSeq lists it as uncharacterized. The record is from RefSeq and is a predicted model, not a curated record. The transcript has 2 exons. Lineage: Eukaryota; Metazoa; Porifera; Demospongiae; Haplosclerida; Niphatidae.
ACUCAGUGUCAGUCUCUGAUCCAUUGGAAUGAAUCUACUAUUCAACAAUCAUGACCUCUCUAUUAGGAUCCAUUUUACACACCAGUCAUUUUACAUAGAGGCAUGUGGGCUAACUGGACAGUGAUUUGUAGACCAUGACUUGGCAACAUUCAGACAGUUCACAAUGAAGUUGUGGACCUGAGGCUGAACUCAUCAUCUCAAUGACUGAUCUCUCAUUCAUAUACUGAAGAUCUAUAGACUGGGUUUAGGAACUAAGGACUAUAACACUAUAAGACUGGUUUAAUUAAUUAAAUUCAUUGUUGACUUGUACUCUGCAUGUAUGACUGAAGUGUGUUUCUUAUUUUAUUGUCAAUUUUCAUGAUUUAAUCUCA